UGGGGAAUAUUGCACAAUGGGCGCAAGCCUGAUGCAGCAACGCCGCGUGAACGAUGAAGGUCUUCGGAUCGUAAAGUUCUGUUGCAGGGGAAGAUAAUGACGGUACCCUGUGAGGAAGCCCCGGCUAACUACGUGCCAGCAGCCGCGGUAAUACGUAGGGGGCUAGCGUUAUCCGGAUUUACUGGGCGUAAAGGGUGCGUAGGUGGUCCUUCAAGUCGGUGGUUAAAGGCUACGGCUCAACCGUAGUAAGCCGCCGAAACUGGAGGGCUUGAGUGCAGGAGAGGAAAGGGGAAUUCCCAGUGUAGCGGUGAAAUGCGUAGAUAUUGGGAGGAAAACCAGUAGCGAAGGCGGCUUUCUGGACUGCAACUGACACUGAGGCACGAAAGGGUGGGUAGCAAACAGG
Molecule: ribosomal RNA, 403 nt
Filed under: Verrucomicrobiota bacterium
Lineage: Bacteria; Pseudomonadati; Verrucomicrobiota
Description: Verrucomicrobia bacterium partial 16S ribosomal RNA
Rfam family: Bacterial small subunit ribosomal RNA
Source: RNAcentral